This 1108-nucleotide long non-coding RNA is filed under the name Homo sapiens (human). RNAcentral's name for it is "non-protein coding lnc-MOAP1-2:1". The record is from RNAcentral. Lineage: Eukaryota; Metazoa; Chordata; Mammalia; Primates; Hominidae.
GCUGUUGUCUGCCACCCAGGCUGAGACCCGCCCUUUCAGUGCAGGGGAGGCUCCGCAGAGCAGGAUUGUGCUUGUGGCUCCCCUGCCCUGGGGCGGCUAAGCGCCAGCUGCAGACCAGGCCGGGUAGGUGCGUUGCAACCUUGUUUCUACUAAAAAUACAAAAAUUAGCUGGGCAUGGUGGCACGUGCCUGUAGUCCCAGCUACUUCGGAGGCUGAGGCAGGAGAAUGAGGUUAUAGUGAACCAAGAUCGCACCACUGCACUCUAGCCUGGGCAACAGAGUGAGACUCCAUCUCAAAACAAACAAAUAAACAAACAAACUACUCCCCUCCUCUCAAGCCUUCAGAGAAGUUUCUGUCAUGGACACUGCUAUAAAUAACUACUUGAGGCCUGUCAUGGUGGCUCACACCUGUAAACCCAGCACUUUGAGAGGCUGAGGCGGGUGGAUCGUUUGACGUCAGGAGUUCCAGACCAGCCUGGCCAACAUGGGAAAACCCCGUCUCUACUAAAAAUACAAAAAUUAGCCAGGCGUGGUGAUGUGCGCCUGUAAUCACAGCUACUUAGGAGGCUGAGGCUGCAGUGAGCUGAGAUCACACACUGCAUACCAGCCUGAGUGACAGAGUGAGACUCUGUCUCCAAAAAAAAAAAAGGGAUUAAAAAAAACCUACCUGAGAGUGGGUAAUUUAUGAAGAAAUUAUGAAGAGGUUUAAUUGACUCACGGUUUUGCAGGCUGUACAAAAAAUAUGGCCAGGGAGGCCUCAGGAAACUUACAAUCAUGGCGGAAGGCAAAGGGGAAGUAGGCAUGUCUUUACGUGGCAGCAGGAGAGAGAAACAGAGCAAAAGGGGAAGUGCGACAUGCUAGAUUUCAUGAGAACUUACUAUCACAUGAACAGCUAGAGGGAAAUCUGCUUCCAUGAUCCAAUCACCUCCCAUUGGGAAUUACAAUUUGACAUGAGAUUUGGGUGGGGACACAGAGCCAAACCAUAUCAUUCCACCCUGGCCCCUCCCAAACCUCAUGUCCUUCUCACAUUUCAAAACACAAUCAUGCCUUCCCAACAGCCCCCCAAAGUCUUAACUCAUUCCAGCAUUAACUCAAAAGUCCCAGUCCAA